UACGGAGGGUGCGAGCGUUACUCGGAAUUACUGGGCGUAAAGCGUGCGUAGGCGGUUAUCUAAGUCGGAUGUGAAAGCCCCGGGCUCAACCUGGGAAUUGCAUUCGAGACUGAAUAGCUAGGGUGCGGUAGAGGGAAGCGGAAUUUCCGGUGUAGCGGUGAAAUGCGUAGAUAUCGGAAGGAACAUCAGUGGCGAAAGCGGCUUCCUGGACCAGCACCGACACUCAGGCACGAAAGCGUGGGGAGCAAACAGG
This 253-nucleotide ribosomal RNA is filed under the name uncultured bacterium. Its description in RNAcentral is "partial 16S ribosomal RNA". It matches the Rfam family "Bacterial small subunit ribosomal RNA", at positions 524 to 776 of the family's 1533-position model. The record is from RNAcentral.